UGAGGAAUAUUGGACAAUGGGCGCAAGCCUGAUCCAGCCAUGCCGCGUGCAGGAUGACGGUCCUAUGGAUUGUAAACUGCUUUUAUACAGGAAGAAACACUACUUCGUGAAGUAGCUUGACGGUACUGUAAGAAUAAGGAUCGGCUAACUCCGUGCCAGCAGCCGCGGUAAUACGGAGGAUCCAAGCGUUAUCCGGAAUCAUUGGGUUUAAAGGGUCCGUAGGCGGUCAGAUAAGUCAGUGGUGAAAGCCCAUCGCUCAACGGUGGAACGGCCAUUGAUACUGUCUGACUUGAAUUAUUAGGAAGUAACUAGAAUAUGUAGUGUAGCGGUGAAAUGCUUAGAGAUUACAUGGAAUACCAAUUGCGAAGGCAGGUUACUACUAAUGGAUUGACGCUGAUGGACGAAAGCGUGGGUAGCGAACAGGAUUAGAUACCCUGGUAGUCCACGCCGUAAACGAUGGAUACUAGCUG
RNAcentral lists this ribosomal RNA (470 nucleotides) under uncultured Bacteroidota bacterium. Its description in RNAcentral is "bacterial SSU rRNA". It matches the Rfam family "Bacterial small subunit ribosomal RNA", at positions 355 to 822 of the family's 1533-position model. The record is from RNAcentral. Lineage: Bacteria; Pseudomonadati; Bacteroidota.